Molecule: ribosomal RNA, 377 nt
Filed under: uncultured bacterium
Lineage: Bacteria
Description: bacterial SSU rRNA
Rfam family: Bacterial small subunit ribosomal RNA
Source: RNAcentral
AUACGAACCAUGCGAACGUUAUUCGGAAUGACUGGGCUUAAAGCGUGCGUAGGCGGUCUCGAAAGUUGGGUGUGAAAUCCCCCGGCUCAACCGGGGAAUUGCGCCCAAAACUGCGGGACUCGAGGGAGAUAGAGGUGGGCGGAACUUCGGGUGGAGCGGUGAAAUGCGUUGAUAUCCGAAGGAACACCAGAGGCGAAAGCGGCCCACUGGAUCUUUUCUGACGCUGAGGCACGAAAGCUAGGGGAGCGAACGGGAUUAGAUACCCCGGUAGUCCUAGCCGUAAACGAUGAGUACUGGAUUGGAGGGUCUCCCAUAGCCUUCCGGUCGUAGCGAAAGUGUUAAGUGCUCCGCCUGGGGAUUAUGGUCGCAAGGCUGAA